GUACUCACUUUGGCAGCACAUAUACCAAAAUUGGAAUGAUACAGAGAAGAUCAGCAUGGCCUCUGAAUGAGGAUGACA
Molecule: small nuclear RNA, 78 nt
Organism: Nomascus leucogenys (northern white-cheeked gibbon)
Lineage: Eukaryota; Metazoa; Chordata; Mammalia; Primates; Hylobatidae
Source: Ensembl